UACGGAGGGUGCAAGCGUUAAUCGGAAUUACUGGGCGUAAAGCGCACGCAGGUGGCUGAGUCAGUCGAUUGUGAAAGCCCUGGGCUUAACCUGGGAAUUGCAGUCGAUACUACUCAGCUAGAGUAUGGGAGAGGGUAGUGGAAUUCCCGGUGUAGCGGUGAAAUGCGUAGAUAUUGGGAGGAACACCAGUGGCGAAGGCGGCUACCUGGACCGGUUCUGACGCUGAUGCGCGAAAGCGUGGGGAGCAAACAGG
This 253-nucleotide ribosomal RNA is filed under the name uncultured bacterium. RNAcentral's name for it is "partial 16S ribosomal RNA". It matches the Rfam family "Bacterial small subunit ribosomal RNA", at positions 524 to 776 of the family's 1533-position model. The record is from RNAcentral.